This 24-nucleotide non-coding RNA is filed under the name Homo sapiens (human). Lineage: Eukaryota; Metazoa; Chordata; Mammalia; Primates; Hominidae. The record is from RNAcentral.
UUAGAGCUUCAACCUCCAGUGUGA